Callithrix jacchus (white-tufted-ear marmoset) is the source of this 1618-nucleotide long non-coding RNA. RefSeq lists it as uncharacterized. The record is from RefSeq and is a predicted model, not a curated record. NCBI's taxonomy places the organism in Eukaryota, Metazoa, Chordata, Mammalia, Primates, Cebidae.
UAAGGUGCAACCAAAGCCAGGGUUGGCUCCAAUAAGUAAUCUGAGCUCUAGCUUCAGCUAUAUUCCUGAGUAUUCCUAAGGUUUGAGAAAUGAUCUCAACUUAUUAGGCUUUGAUUGCUCCUUACCCAGAGAAAGAAGGUUAGUCUUCAUCUUUAUGAGGCUACGUGAGCACUGUCCUUCAGAUGGGUAAUCACUGAGAGCCCACGCCAUAACAGAUGGAGUUUCACUUUGUCAUCCAGACUGAAGUGCAGUGGCGCCAUCUCGGCUCACUUCAAUCUCCACCUCCGAGGUUCAAGCGAUUCUACUGCCUCAGCCUCCUGAGUAGGUGGAAUUACAGUGCAAUGCAUUUGACAGAAAGUCCCGAAGAGUGGAUUGGCCAUGUGAUAUGGCAAAGACGAAAACUUCAGUUUACAAACGUGUCAUUUGUUUGCAUUGGUAUUCCUUCCAACUGAUUAAAUUCCAGGAGCUUUUAUGAGUUAAAGCCAGAUUUGCCUGAAGAAGCUUAAUGAAGUUACAGACUGGUUCAAAAAUAAUUAUAUGCACAGAAGAAUAAGAAGACACACAAAAAUAAAUAAAUAAAUUAAUUAAUUAAUUAAUUAAAGAAGACACACAACAGUGUUGCUGUCCAUCGCCAAUAUUGUUUCUGCCAAAUUUUUGGUCUGUAUAUGAGUGCAUGGGAAAUGAAUUUCCACAUGUCCAAAACAACAUGGAAGCAUGGCAGGAAGAUGAGAAAUUUUAAUAGAAAAUGCUCAUGUCGGGGUACAGCAAAUCACAGAAUUUCGAAAAGAGCAACACCACAGUGAACACUUUCUUUAAGGAGGGUUAUGCCCUGUAAGAAAAAAUGCAGCUAUGCCUCACUGUGGAAGGCUUCAAAUAUCGUCAAUGAUUGUGAAAAUCAGCCAGCUCUUAUGGACUAUCUCCAUGCAAUUGCCCAUAAACUAUUUCUGCCAUGUACUUUUUCAUACAUCAAAUUUUCUUUUUCAUUUCUUGGGGGGCUUUCUGGGGUUAUUUUUUCCUUUUUCAGUUUUGCCCCACUAUUUUAAAUUGUCAGCAUUAUGUUUUACAAUUUGCUAUGCUAAGUAUCUCAUAUUUGUAUCAUUUUCAAUACUGAAGAUAUAAAUUGCAUAGAGACUUUUAGAGAGUUCCAACUCAUUUUAUGUAUUUUUUGACAGAUCUGACUCCAUGUAAGUGCAUUAUCAAAAGGUUGACUUUGUGUGGAAGUAUUGUGUGUGUACAUAACAACAUUGAAACUUCCUCAGUAAAUGAAGACAGGUCAUUUGUUACAUCUUCAUUUGUGAAAGAUAAAUUCUCUCCAGAUCUCAAUUACUGGGGAGACUGCAUAUGCAGUGGUGACCCAUGGUGGGUUUUGAUCAAAUAUCAAAAGACUUGGGUUAUUUGUCAGUGUUUCAGAUGAGAGAAGUUAUAAAGCUGGUGCACACAAUUACCAGCCAUAGCAAUAUACAUUUGUAUAUUUCCAUUUUUGACCUUUUUUUUAUAAAUAACAGUUCAUCUGCUUAUGAUUGUUAUAUGUGCAUGACUCAUUACCAUACCUGAGUGUUUAUGUUUGCAAAAAGAUGUUAUUGUAUAUUUUACUGUGUACAGUGGCCUAUGAAAUGUU